This 86-nucleotide transfer RNA is filed under the name Curtobacterium flaccumfaciens. RNAcentral's name for it is "tRNA-Leu". It matches the Rfam family "tRNA". From Rfam's summary of the family: Transfer RNA (tRNA) molecules are approximately 80 nucleotides in length. RNAcentral also lists the same sequence under 2 other names. Lineage: Bacteria; Bacillati; Actinomycetota; Actinomycetes; Micrococcales; Microbacteriaceae. The record is from RNAcentral.
GCGCGAGUGGCGGAAUUGGUAGACGCGCACGGUUCAGGUCCGUGUGCUGGAAACGGCGUGGGGGUUCAAGUCCCCCUCGCGCACCA